AUUUAUUGGGUUUAAAGGGUGCGUAGGCGGUUUAUUAAGUUAGUGGUUAAAUAUUUGAGCUAAACUCAAUUGUGCCAUUGAUACUGGUAAACUUGAGUACAGACGAGGUAGGCGGAAUUCGUGGAGUAGCGGUGAAAUGCUUAGAUAUCACGAAGAACUCCGAUUGCGAAGGCAGCUUACCAGACUGUAACUGACGCUGAUGCACGAGAGCGUGGGUAGCGAACAGGAUUAGAUACCCUGGUAGUCCACGCAGUAAACGAUGAUCACUCGUUCUGUGCGAUAUAUUGUACGGGAUUAAGCGAAAGUAUUAAGUGAGCCACCUGGGGAGUACGCCGGCAACGGUGAAACUCAAAGGAAUUGACGGGGGCCCGCACAAGCGGAGGAACAUGUGGUUUAAUUCGAUGAUACGCGAGGAACCUUACCUGGGUUUAAAUGGGAAAUGCCGUAUUUGGAAACAGAUAUUCUCUUCGGAGCGUUUUUCAAGGUGCUGCAUGGUUGUCGUCAGCUCGUGCCGUGAGGUGUCGGGUUAAGUCCCAUAACGAGCGCAACCCUUACCGUUAGUUGCUAGCAUGUAAUGCUGAGGACUCUAACGGGACUGCCAUCGUAAGAUGUGAGGAAGGCGGGGAUGACGUCAAAUCAGCACGGCCCUUACACCCAGGGCUACACACGUGUUACAAUGGCCGGUACAGAGGGCCGCUACCAGGUGACUGGAUGCCAAUCUCAAAAGCCGGUCGUAGUUCGGAUUGGAGUCUGU
This 754-nucleotide ribosomal RNA is filed under the name human gut metagenome. RNAcentral describes it as "bacterial SSU rRNA". It matches the Rfam family "Bacterial small subunit ribosomal RNA", at positions 549 to 1308 of the family's 1533-position model. The record is from RNAcentral.